AGCCGCGGUAAUUCCAGCUCCAAUAGCGUAUAUUAAAGUUGUUGCAGUUAAAAAGCUCGUAGUUGAACCUCGGGGUCUACCCAUUGGUCAGGCUUAAUUGUCUGCACUGGUGAGAUGGAUCUCUACCUUCUGAGGAACUUUCAUGCCAUUUAUUUGGUGUGAUGGGAAAUCAGGACUGUUACUUUGAAAAAAUUAGAGUGUUUAAAGCAGACUAUCGUCUGAAUACAUUAGCAUGGAAUAAUGAAAUAGGACGGACUGAUUCUAUUUCGUUGGUUUCUAGGAUCACCGUAAUGAUUAAUAGGGAUAGUUGGGGGCAUUAGUAUUCAAUUGUCAGAGGUGAAAUUCUUGGAUUUAUUGAAGACUAACUACUGCGAAAGCAUUUGCCAAGGAUGUUUUCAUUAAUCAAGAACGAAAGUUAGGGGAUCGAAGACGAUCAGAUACCGUCGUAGUCUUAACCAUAAACUAUGCCGACUAGGGAUCGGAUGAUGUUAAUUUUUUAAUGACUCAUUCGGCGCCUUACG
This 521-nucleotide ribosomal RNA is filed under the name uncultured Diversispora. Its description in RNAcentral is "SSU rRNA". It matches the Rfam family "Eukaryotic small subunit ribosomal RNA", at positions 572 to 1092 of the family's 1831-position model. Lineage: Eukaryota; Fungi; Glomeromycota; Glomeromycetes; Diversisporales; Diversisporaceae. The record is from RNAcentral.